CAUCCUAACAAUGGGCAAAGAGACACCUUGUUGGUGAUGGUGUUCUUAUAGCAGUCAGGGGCACAGCAGAUGGCAGUCCUUUGUUCAUCUUAGCUUGAUGCCUGGCUUGAUGGUCAAAGCUGUUUUAUAUAUAGGACUCAUAA
Molecule: small nucleolar RNA, 143 nt
Organism: Arvicanthis niloticus (Nile rat)
Lineage: Eukaryota; Metazoa; Chordata; Mammalia; Rodentia; Muridae
Product: small nucleolar RNA SNORA48
Source: RefSeq, a predicted model, not a curated record